GACCCUAAUCGUCCUCGUCACGCGUCCGUGCGCCCCCGGUGCGCCGGAGGGAUCUCCAGGACCCCGAACGUGCCGUCCUGGACGGACUCCUCGGGAACCCAAGGUCAGGCGGGACUACCCGCUGAGUUUAAGCAUAU
RNAcentral lists this ribosomal RNA (137 nucleotides) under Helianthemum ledifolium. Its description in RNAcentral is "partial 28S ribosomal RNA". The record is from RNAcentral. Lineage: Eukaryota; Viridiplantae; Streptophyta; Magnoliopsida; Malvales; Cistaceae.